GACGAACGCUGGCGGCGUGCCUAACACAUGCAAGUCGAACGGAACUUCUUUAAAGGAUUUCUUCGGAAUGAAUUUGAUUAAGUUUAGUGGCGGACGGGUGAGUAACGCGUGAGUAACCUGCCUCUGAGAGGGGAAUAACAUUCUGAAAAGAAUGCUAAUACCGCAUAACAUAUAUUUAUCGCAUGGUAGAUAUAUCAAAGAUUUAUCGCUUAGAGAUGGACUCGCGUCCGAUUAGUUAGUUGGUGAGGUAACGGCUCACCAAGACUGCGAUCGGUAGCCGGACUGAGAGGUUGAACGGCCACAUUGGGACUGAGACACGGCCCAGACUCCUAC
This 333-nucleotide ribosomal RNA is filed under the name uncultured bacterium. RNAcentral describes it as "bacterial SSU rRNA". It matches the Rfam family "Bacterial small subunit ribosomal RNA", at positions 28 to 342 of the family's 1533-position model. The record is from RNAcentral.